This is a non-coding RNA of Rhizodiscina lignyota, 113 nucleotides long. Lineage: Eukaryota; Fungi; Ascomycota; Dothideomycetes; Aulographales; Rhizodiscinaceae. The record is from the annotation of a GenBank genome assembly.
GGCAAGAUGUCCGAGCGGUCUAAGGAGCCAGACUCAAGCUUAUUGAGCUUCGCCAUCCAAUGGCGCGUCUUCUGGUCUCGAAAGAGGCGUGGGUUCGAAUCCCACUCUUGUCA